GACCUACAAUCUCGAUCAUAGCAUGCAGCCAUAGUUCAUAUUGAAUAUUACAAUGUGCAUAGUGCAUAUUACAUCAAUGUAAUUUCUACAUUCAAUUAAAUGUCACCUAGUUUUACAACUAUUCAAAUCACACUACUAUACAAACAAUUAUUCAAAAAUUUUGAUUGUCAUAACAUCUCAAUCGUCAAAAGUAGCCAUCAUACGAAUUCCGUCUAACAAAGACCAUUUCGCUGCAUUCAAAUCUUUGUCUACUCCAUAUCCCACAUGACCUAAAGCAGGGUACAUCGUUAACGUCAACAUUAUCUACACACACACAAUUGAAAUUAAGAUAGAUGAGAUAACAAAUAAUAUAAAUAGUACAUAGUACAUUAAGGGAAAAUAGUGCAUAGUGCAUUUCAGAUAAUGUGAAAAUAGUGCAUAGUGCAUUUCAGAUAAAUAGUGCAUAGUGCAUUUCAGAUAAUGUGAAAAUAGUGCAUACUGUAUUUCAGAUAAAUAGUGCAUAUUACGGAAUACAUGAGAGUUAAGUCCAACGAUUAUUUUCUUACCAUUAGUUGACGAACUCCCUAAUCCCGACCUUUUCUUUGUUGCCUUCUUCUUGAAUAACGACCUACAAACAUUAAACAUUAUACAAUUGCAAAAAGAAAUCAUAACACCAAAUUAUUGUGGACAUUUGGUACACUAUGCAAUAUGUACUAUGCACUAUGAUAUAGCCAUAAAUAACAAUGAAAAUAAGGGAGGUAAAAAAUAAAUUAAAAUGUUUGUGUCUGUUACACAUUUUAAUCAAAACACAUUCGUAAAUCAGAAUUGUGCCUGAUAAAGAUUAGUGGCCUAACACAUUUGGUGGCCAAUAAAGAUUUGUGGUCGAUAAAAAAUGAAAAACAGUGAUUUUGAUAUAAAAAUUUCAAAACAAGUUUGAAAAAUUUUAAUCUUCGGAAAUAUGGGAAAAUAUAAAAAUCAACAACAAGGGAAAAUCAUGAAAUACUAAAAAAGCAGUGAAACAAAAAACGUAAACACAAAAAAAAAUACCGAAACAACUAGAGACUAGGUGAAAAGAUGACGAAAUGAGGGAUCAUGGAAAUGAAAUAAGAAACUAAACCUGAUCUUAGGGAAAAGGAAAAAAUUUAAAUGAGGGAUAAUAAAAAAUCAGUAUCCAUUUUUAAGAUUGAAAUGAUCGAAAACAGGGGAAAAAACCAAGAUCAACAUAGUGAAAAAACAGGAUAAACGUGAAAUAGCAAAACAACAAUGAAAAUAAAAAAUAUGUAAAACAAACCAAAAAUAACAAUACUGCUAGAGACUAGGUGAAAACAAGAGGAAAUGAUCGAGGGAUCAUGGAAAUAAAAUAAAAACCUAAACCCAACCAUAGGGAAAACGAAAUAAUUAAGUAAACCCCAUUCUAAGAUCAUGGAAAUGAGGGAUAAAAAGAUACAAGAAAACCCAUUCUAAAGAUCAAAUAGAUAAGGUCAAUGAAGGAUAAAAUCAAAUCAGAACCCAUUUGUUAGAAUUUAAUUUUCGAAAAGAGUGGGAAAAAACAGAAACAACAUAGGAACAACAUGAAAUACCAAAUCAGCAAUGGAAAAAAUAAAUUAUAAAACUAGUUUCCUCAUCUAGGUCGGGUCAUUUCUGAUUUCCUGGGGUUCAAAUAGGAAUAAUACGAUGCCAAGAUCAAGUGGGGAAGAAUAACUGACCAACUAAGGGUAAAAACAGAGGGGAAGACCGAUGAAAAUCCAACCACACAACACACCAAAACCAUCGGAAAAUCGAACAAGGAAAUAUUCAAUCAGGAUACAUACCGAAUAGUUGAUGAUGGCGACCUGGCAGGUGGCUUCCCGUUACGCUCGCCGCUUGGGUUCGACAUGGUAAACUUGGAGAUGAUGUGCGGUAACUGUUGGGAAAGAAAUCGUCGCUAGGAAGAAAUCGCCGUUGGAGGAUGUUCAAAAUCGAGAGAUGAAUGCGUGUAGAAAAUGAGAGUUUCAGAAUAAGAAUAAUAAAUUGGGAUUUGCACAAUCACCUCCUGCUUCCAUCCAUCGGUCUAUAGGAUGUUCUAUGUACUUCCUCUGUCGGUGUGUCAUAAUUAAACUACCAAUCAAAGCUUGCAUUUCAUACGAAGCAGCAUUCAAACUCAAGAAUUGGACGGUGGAGAUUAAGUUCGCAGAUAAUGCGUAUUUUGGAGUUCUCAGCAGAAGCGUUCUGUGAUUAUAUAAUCUAGACCUUUUCAAUGAUCUUAUGAAAAGAACUAGCUGCAAGAUUUGAUGUGACCAAAGGACCAAUGCUGUUUCUGAAUUUUGUUUGAGCCUCAAAUUGAAUGAAUCUAUAAUAACUUACCUUGAGAUAUAUUGAAUGUCAAUAUCGACCACUAUUGAUAUUCUCUAUAAUCAAACUUUUCCUAAAAAAACAUUAUUAUAAUUUAUAUUCUCUAUAUCGAUUUUGUUCCCAAAUUAAGAUGAGAUCCCAUCAAUAAUAGAUGUCGGACAGUAACUAAUUGUAACCACUGAACAAGUGAG
Molecule: long non-coding RNA, 2501 nt
Filed under: Zostera marina
Lineage: Eukaryota; Viridiplantae; Streptophyta; Magnoliopsida; Alismatales; Zosteraceae
Description: long non-coding RNA (ZMAR_LNC001727)
Source: RNAcentral